GACGAACGCUGGCGGCGUGCUUAACACAUGCAAGUCGAACGGAAAGGCCCUGCUUUUGUGGGGUGCUCGAGUGGCGAACGGGUGAGUAACACGUGAGUAACCUGCCCUUGACUUUGGGAUAACUUCAGGGAACUGGGGCUAAUACCGGAUAGGAGCUCCUGCUGCAUGGUGGGGGUUGGAAAGUUUCGGCGGUUGGGGAUGGACUCGCGGCUUAUCAGCUUGUUGGUGGGGUAGUGGCUUACCAAGGCUUUGACGGGUAGCCGGCCUGAGAGGGUGACCGGCCACAUUGGGACUGAGAUACGGCCCAGACUCCUACGGGAGGCAGCAGUGGGGAAUAUUGCACAAUGGGCGGAAGCCUGAUGCAGCAACGCCGCGUGCGGGAUGACGGCCUUCGGGUUGUAAACCGCUUUCGCCUGUGACGAAGCGUGAGUGACGGUAAUGGGUAAAGAAGCACCGACUAACUACGUG
RNAcentral lists this ribosomal RNA (468 nucleotides) under uncultured bacterium. RNAcentral's name for it is "partial 16S ribosomal RNA". It matches the Rfam family "Bacterial small subunit ribosomal RNA", at positions 28 to 507 of the family's 1533-position model. The record is from RNAcentral.